Long non-coding RNA from Physella acuta, 237 nucleotides. RefSeq lists it as uncharacterized. NCBI's taxonomy places the organism in Eukaryota, Metazoa, Mollusca, Gastropoda, Physidae. The record is from RefSeq and is a predicted model, not a curated record.
UAAAUUCAUUAGAUGAGCAAACGGGAAGUAAAGUGAAUGUUUCACUAGGUCUCGGACCCAGUUGUCAUAAAGUAUUUACUAAAGGUUACAAUGGCCAGACGAGUUAAUAUUGCUGUUGUAAUUAUAUGUGUUCAAAUCAUGCAUGUGUAUUCAGCAUGUGAUGUUGGAUGGUUUGGCCAAGACUGUAAGCUCCAGUGCCACUGUACAAACAACACUUGUACAGACGACAGUACCUGC